GCCAAAAACAAAAUGGUUAAUGCUGUUAAAAUGGCGAUGGAAUUCGAUGCGCGCAUUCCAAAAGACGAAGCACCAGAGUACACAGAAGGUUACGAAGGCUUUUAUCAUUUAAUCUCCCUAAACGGCGACGUAGAACAAGCCAGAUCCUACUAUAUUAUCCGCGACUUCGAUCACUUGAAAUUUGUGGAAAGAAAAACACAUAUUGCUAGUAUCGCUAAAGAGUUAGAAGAAAAAUACGGCGAAGGAUCGGUAGAAUUAAAACUGAACGAUCAAUAUUACAAUAUGCGCGAAAAAAUCGAACCAGUAAAAGAAAUUGUGGAUAUCGUCAGUGCGGCGAUGAGAAAUCUAGACAUUGAACCGAAAAUCAGUCCAAUUCGUGGCGGAACAGACGGCGCUCAACUUUCCUACAAAGGACUACCAACACCUAAUAUUUUUGGUGGAGGAGAGAACUUCCACGGUAAAUUUGAAUAUGUUGCAUUAGAAAGUAUGGUUAAAGCAACAGAAGUAAUCAUUGAAGUGGCUCGUUUGUUUGAAGAAAAAGAAUAAUAAAAAAGUGAGUCUAGUUCAUCCUAGACUCACUUUUUCUAUGCGCUCAUUUACCCUAGCAGCAAAUAGUUUCGCUUCACCGUUUGCUACUAGUAAUGUAUAGCUUUCUUUAUUAUUAAGAUGUAAAAUCAAUUUUUUCGUCAUGGAAAGGAUACUCACUUUUUGUUCUAAACUGUCUAUCAUUUCAUAAGCGAAUUUCUUCAGUAAAUAGACAUCUUCAUUUUCUAAGUAAAAAAUCAGUGCAUUCUCAUUCGAAAUCCAAAGCCCUGUUAAAUCCAUCCAUUCGUCUUCCAUUUCAUAAGCAAAUGAACCAUAAAUCAGACUAGUAUCCAUCCCGAGAAGCUCACGGACACCUGCUUUUGCAAUCAUCGUUUCAUACAAAAUUUUUCGCCCCUCUACAUACGCAUUUUUCGUAUUCUAACUAUACCACUUACUUCGGAUAGACUGCAAUGGAGCCAUCUUUUAUCCGAAUUAAUUCGACCGGCUUUUGAUAAAAAUCUUGAAGGACUUCCUCUGUUAAAAGUUUUUCUGUUUUUCCGUGAUGAGUUAUUUCCCCGUCACGCAGUAAAAUGAUAUUAUCGAAGCAGGGAAGAAUUUCUUCCGUAUGAUGCGUAACAAAGAGCAUCGUUGGUGAUUCAGGAAGUUCUGCAAUUUUCUUAAUUCUUUCUAACAAACGAUUCUUUGCAAAUAAAUCAAGCCCGUUACAAGGCUCAUCUAAAAUAAGUAACUUAGGACUGGCCAUUAAAGCACGUGCAAUUAAAACAAUUUGACGCUCACCUUGCGAUAAAAUUUUAUACGGUUUUCCAAUAAGUGUGAUACCGCCACAAUCAGUAAGCAGCUUUUUCGCUUGGUCAAUCUCCGCAGUAGUGACUUUUUCAUAAAUACCAAUACUUGCAAAUUUUCCACUAAGUACAAUUUGCUCGCUUAACUCAUACUCUUUCAGCUGAUGGUCAAGCGCAUUACUAACCCAACCAAUCGAUUUACGUAACUCCGGCAAAGAAGUCUUCCCAAAAAUAUGCCCAAGUACUUGAAGAUUUCCACUGCUAGGCCAAAGAUACCCAUUUAAAAGUUGCAACAAAGUUGUUUUUCCAGAACCGUUAAGUCCUAGUAUUGCCCAGUUUUCUUUAUCAUUAACCACCCAAUUAAUAUCCGACAAAAUCAUUUUAUUAUCGCGCUUUAAAUAAACGUUCUUAAAAGCAAACAUCGAAUACCUCAUUUCCAUUUUCUACUAUUGUACAUGAAAAUAACGUAAAAAAGGAGCAAAUACUAAUGAAGCAAGAAGAAAUAAUAAUUGCCGCGCAAAAAUGGAUGCAGUCCCAUUUUGAAAAGGAAACUACUGGACACGACUGGGAACAUAUUAAACGAGUCUGGCAUUUAAGUAAACAAAUCCAAGUAACAGAAGGUGGGGACAAAUUUGCAAUCGAAUUAGCAGCAUUGUUUCACGAUUAUAAUGAUAGCAAACUAACAGAAGACCCAUUACAAGCAACUGAAAUAAUCACAACUUGGCUGAGAGAAAAAGAAAUACCUGAAGAUGUAAUCAGUAAAAUCAUCCGAAUUAUCCAAGCAGUUUCUUUUAAAAAUGGAAAAAAUCCUAUCCAAGCUUCUACAAUAGAAGAAAAAAUAGUUCAAGAUGCAGACCGUUUGGAUGCAAUUGGUGCAAUCGGUAUAGCUCGAACAUUUACUUAUGGAGGAGCACACAAUAGAGAAAUCGCUAAUCGAGAUCACCCAGAAAAUACCACUUUACAACACUUUUACGAUAAAUUACUCUUAAUUCAAACGCAACUAAAAACAAAGACUGGUCGGGAACUUGCAGGAGAAAAACAAAAAAUUAUGCAGGAUUUUAUACAUGCACUAGAGAAAGAAUUAAAAAUAUAACUUAAAAGGCUUGUAUUUAGUAUAAAGCUGUUAUAUAAUGAUAAAGCUGAAUUGAUACAAAUUGAUUCAUCAAAAAACAUUUUAAAAAUAGUUGUUGACGUGAUUUAAACUUUAUGGUAAGAUUUAAAAGUUGCGUUAACAAAGCAACUGACCUUUGAAAACUGAACAAAGAAGAAGACGAAAAGCAAUGAGACGUAAAGUCUCACUGGUAAUCGCAGGGCAGAAAACAGAAAGCUGUUUUCAA
RNAcentral lists this ribosomal RNA (2665 nucleotides) under Listeria monocytogenes serotype 1/2a str. 01-1280. Its description in RNAcentral is "partial 23S ribosomal RNA". The record is from RNAcentral. Lineage: Bacteria; Bacillati; Bacillota; Bacilli; Caryophanales; Listeriaceae.